Molecule: long non-coding RNA, 2727 nt
Filed under: Linum usitatissimum (flax)
Lineage: Eukaryota; Viridiplantae; Streptophyta; Magnoliopsida; Malpighiales; Linaceae
Description: long non-coding RNA (LUSI_LNC005104)
Source: RNAcentral
CGCGGAUUCUUGUUUUCUUUGGCAAUUGAAGGAUUGAAUUCGAAUUCGAAACAGAAAGAAAUUGUCACGACAAUCGGAGAAAGGAAGGAAGAAAUUAGGAAGUGAGAUUCAGGGGUCGAGGCCUUGGCAGCGGUGGUACCAGCCUUCUUUGCAAGAGGCGAAAGAGAAAGCAGAUGCAGCAGAGAGAACGCCAGCGGAGAGCAUGUAAUUGCUACAAUUACUUGAGAUUUUCACCAUUCACAAUGACUCUGGAGUCGUCGUCGUCGUCGUGGUGUCGGUGGUUUGAGAGAUUCGACGGAGAAGGAAGAACAGGAAAGCGGAGGUGAGGCGGCGAGCGAGAGGUGGGAGCAAGAGAACAGAGUGUAGGGUUUGGAGUAUGAGGUGGCGAUGGAAUUUGGGGGCGGAAGCUGGGACUAUAUAGGAAUAGUUUGUGGGGAAGGAUCCGUGGAUUUAAUUUGGGGGAAUAAUAGUUGGCAGUGGAUGAAUUUAGGGUUGGGUGAAAACGGCGUUAUUCGUCUACCGUGUCCGUUUGCGUGUGGUGGUGGGUGGGCCGCUUCCGGUUGGCAUUGCACAAUCCCAACGUUAUUCUAACCGUUUUUCACAACUCGUGGUUGUUAUGGCGUCUGUAAAUAUCAUUUAUUGAACGAUUAGACUUGGCAAUUUAAUUCGAUAAAUCGAAACCCCGUCCACAUCUGUUCUGUAUUGACCGAAUUUUAUUUAUGUUGAUUGGGCAUUUAAUGGGCAUGAAUCUACCCACUAUCCGGUCAAAUCGGAGAUAGAUGGGUUUCGAAAAUUAAAUAUUCACCCCGACCACCCGCUAAUAUCCAUAUAAUUACAUGGAUUUAUUUAUUAAUACCCCUUCCAGAUUGCGGGUCAGUUUCUUUUUGUCCCCUAUUUCUUCUCUUCUACUCCCUCACACAAAAUUGCAGUCGCUUAUAAUCUUUAAUUUCUAUCUUCAAACAAUGUCCCAAUCAAUGAUUCCACUCUUGGAGAGUGGCUCUUCAGUCCAGGUAUUCCUCCUCAAUUUUCUCUAUCCAGUCUCCAACCAAAUCAUUUUUCUUUUCGAUUAGUGAUUUCCUUUUCGAUCGUUUCUUUUUAGCAGGUUUAUUUAGAGUCCAGUCAAUGAUUUAAUUUCACUUAUCCGACUUCAAAGUAUGCUUCUUGCAAAUUUAUUUUUAAGAUUUUGAUCUCUGAGUAAUGAAUUGAUUGAUAUUUGUGCACAAUGAAAGGAGAAACGAAUAUGCAUCUAGCCUUUAUCAAGUUUUUUUUUAUCUUUUAGUAAGUUUCAAACUUUUAGUUUUCCGGUGAAUUUAAUUUUCUAAAAAAAAUUAGAGUUUUCAUUUACAUGAAUUUGAAUCCGAUUUAUUAUUGUGUUUGUACUAGUUCUGGCAAUUGCUCUAUAUGUUUUUGUUGAUAUGUUGUUGCUCCACGGCUUCCCAUGUUGAUGAUGGUUUGCUUGUUGCUGCAUGGAUCGUUUGGCUUCCGUUUGAGUGUGAUGGAUUAUGAAUGGAUUUCUGUGUUAUAUAGAAUUUUUUAGUUGACGAGUAUGGGGAUGACGAGUAUGAAAAUAUAUAUUCGAACGAAUAUGAAAAUGGAAAUGGAGAUGAAUUUUAGAAAUGGAUAUAGCGGCCGGCGCACCAUGCCUUAUUGCCAUGCCUAUGUGGAAGCAAGAAUAAUUGAACAUCAUUUUCUGUCUUGUUUCCAUACAUCAUCAUCUAAUUAUAAAUCAUCCGAACCAAACAAUGAAUUUUUAAGAUUGAAAUAUAGUGUCGAAGAGUAGAUAGACUAUAUUAAUAAAAGAAAAUAUUAUUUAAAAAUUCUGGAAAAAAAGAUAGAUGGAAUAAUUAAAAUCAAUGAUAGUGAGAAGUGAGUUGGUGGAGAAGGUCGGCGGUGAGAAGCUGGUAUGUCUUCUGGCUAGGAUGGAUGCUAUCAAAGAACACAUACUGCGAUGACAAAUUGCCGCAAGUUGGCGUCAACGGCGAGCACAGGAAUCCCCCUUCCAAUAGCCCACUCCCGCAGCACCCUUUCCUCGCUUCCAAUAGAUAUAUGUUUGACUUUGAUCCCAAUUGAAUUUCUAAUUAGACCUUAAAGGGAAAACCAUGCAUGCAUUUAUUUUUUAUUUUUAAUAAAUGAUUGAACAACUAUAGGAGUGUGUAUAUUCAAAGAGAUUACCGUAACGAAAGUCUCCACUUUCUUGAGAAGGAAGUCCUGAUAGCUGCUCAAAUCGAACUGCAACCUCCUAGUAAUCGAAUCAAAAAAGUUGUCCACAAAAUCAUUAGUCCCGGCGCUGACUAUUAUCAACGCGCCGCCGACCGUCUUGUUGACUUCCUUAUCAUCAUCGAUUAUCUUCCUCAACCUCCCGACGUACUCCCUAAACAUCUCCACCUGCCUCUCCAUCGGGAUAACCAACGACAUCAGCGCCGUCAGCUCGUCGUACCCGGUCCCGGACGACACGAACGACACCCCUGUCUUGAGCUCCUCAUCCGUCACGUGUGGGUCCAAGUACGGCGCUACAAUACCAGCCGGCUUGAUCCCCAGGUGGCCGGCGAUCAUGUCCGGAAUGAGCCUCCCGUCCGAGAAUCUUCCCGUAGGCUUGUGAGCCGGCGGAAAGUUUAUUCCGUAUGGGAGGUGUCGGCCUUGGUUAGGGCUGCGAUUAGGUGGUUGUUGUUGCCCGUGGAGUCGCCGAAGAUGAUGGCGGCUGUGAAGUUGGGGAGGUGGUGGUGGUGG